This is an RNA transcript of Pipra filicauda (Wire-tailed manakin), 2987 nucleotides long. RefSeq lists it as uncharacterized. NCBI's taxonomy places the organism in Eukaryota, Metazoa, Chordata, Aves, Passeriformes, Pipridae. The record is from RefSeq and is a predicted model, not a curated record. The transcript is spliced from 5 exons.
GCUCUGGGUCCAGGCUGUCCGUGCUGGAGGGCCCUGGUGGCUGCAGUCCCUGAGCCCACAGAGACAGAGAGAGCCCCGGCCCGAGUGGCCUUUGGCACCUUGUCCUGAAUUUGGGGUGAGCCUGGGAGCGUGUGGAAGAUGCUGGAAUUGCCUCUCUGGCUGUGUGCUGAGCUCUGACUGCAGGGGACUGUCAGGCCUUGGUGGCUCUGUUCCCUGCUGUCCAUUCCCUGGCCUGAAUUCCUUGCAGCUCCCAGCUGGGGAAACCUGGGAUAACAUGGCAGGGACAGAGGUGACAUUUGUAGCUGCAAACUUCGGGUAAUUUCGAGGGGCCCCAGCGACUGUUUCUGAAGGAAAAGAUGCUGGAAUUGCCUCUCUGGCUGUGUGCGGAGCUCUGGCUGCAGGGGACUGUCAGGCCUUGGUGGCUCCUCCUUGCAGCUCCCAGCUGGGAAAACCUGGGAAAACUGAGGAGGGACAGAGAUGAAGGUUUUAUCUGCAGAUUUAGGGCAAUUUCUAGGGGAUACAGCAACUGUUUGUGUGGGAAAGUGUGUUAAACCACAUUGGCCCAAGUUGUGUUUGCACCAGCUGGGGCCAGAGGUGCCAGGCAAUCCAAAGCAAACCCUGCUCAGCCUCCAAAUCCCAGGGGAAGUUCUCCAAGCUGCUCAUUGAGGGACUAAAGAUACAUUGAAAUGGAACCGAGACACUACUAAGUUUCCUGGGAAUCCCAGUAUUGCUGUCCUAGAACUUUUAACAGCUUUUUAAGCUUUUUAUGACAAGAAUGGCUUUCUUCCUUUGGAUGAGUCCCUCGGUAGGAUUUGGGGUUUCUUUGGAUUCUGAAUCCCUCCCGGUGGCCCUGACACUGGUCAGGAGCUGGCAGGACAAACAGAGUCAGAGCUCCUGGCAGGCACAGGGGCUUUCCCCCAGAGUGGAUCCAACUGCUGCCCCCAGCCUGGCCAGGCGGGAUCUGCUUUGGCUCCCGGCUUCUGCCAGAGACAGAAGGUGUUCCCUUGAUUGGAAUGAGGAUCGCGUAGCUUCAUCUCCUGGACGUUCCCUGGGCAGCUGAUCCACUCUGCCCCAUGUCCUGCUCUCAGUUCCUGCCCAGCCAGAGCCAUCUGUGCCAAGGGCACGAGCACUCCCAGCCUGGAUAGGGAAUGGGGGACUGGCUUGUGCACAAUUCACCUAGAAAGUCAAACGAGGGGAUUGUUGGGCAGCGGCUUUGGCCGACACGGCAGCACAAAGAUUGUUCUCUGCAGGGGGCCCAGGUUUGGGUUCCGGUCUCAGCUUUGCAGGUUUGGAUGAAUUCUACCUACAGCCCGCAAUUCCAUGCCGAAUUCCUGCUGCAACAGCCUCCCAGUGCCUCCUGGAGCCCGGAUGUUCCCCCGCAGAGCUGCUGCUCUAACGCCAGGUUUGCCAGGAAGCAGCCACGGUUCCAGGUUUGCUCAGCGGGAUCGGGACAAGGACAGGUUGAUAUUCCACAGACUUUGCUGUUUCUAACCCUCCUCCCCCAGCCCCGCUGGUGUCCCUGGGGGGACUUGAGCGAGUUCGCUGGAAUUCGGCCGCUUUUCCGCCCCGGGCCGGGCUCCAGGGGAUGUGUUGGCCCAGGAGAAGGCGGGGGCCGGACGCGCUCCCGGCCCGGGGCGAGGCAGCCCCUGAGCAGGGGCGAGGACGUCUCUCCGGGCGGGAAGCCGCUGUCCCUUCGGAGCCUCGGGAGCGGCCCCGGGGAGUUCUUUUCCCCGAGGAAAGGGAUGCACAGCCCUGCCUUCAGGGCACCUCGGCUCUGACCCACCUGUUCAAGCUGUCCACGGGUUCUGCAGGUGCGGUUGGGUCCCCGAAAAACUGCGAAUUGCCUCCGAGCCCGACUUUCUCCGAGCAUCCCCUUUUCUUUUCAGGCAUCUCCGAGGGCUCUUGCUCGGGAUUUAGUGCCGCUGAGGGGCACAUUGCCCUGGCUUUAAGGCUGCUGCUGGCUGCUGGCCUCCGGCUGGAAGGGCAGGGAUUUGGGGCGGGCGGGACACACGUGGGGGGCGCGGGACAGCUCUGGGAGGUGGGCCCUGGGAAUGGCUGCCCGCGCUGCUCUGCAGCCCCGCCGUGCCGACACUGCCGAGUGCCAGCUGGAUUCUUUGGGUCCUUUGGGGCUGUCGCUGGGGCGUGUCCAGGGUGAGGCAUCUCAGGGGGCCCGUUCAGAGCAGCCCCCGGCUGAGGAGCCGCAGGCAGUCCUUUCCCCGUGCCCACCCCGGUGCCCGUGGCUGGUUCCCCCCCCUGGGAUGUGCGUUUGGCGGACGAGCCCUGCUCGGGAGACAAAUCCAUCUUGUGCCCGAUGGAAGCGCUGGCCCGGGGCUGCUCCAUCCCUGCUGCCAGGAGCUGUGCUGGGAGUCCUGCGGCUGCGGGCGGGAUUGCCUGAGCUCCGGACGCUCCGGAGCGCCGGGAGCCCCGGCAGGGCAGUGCAGGGCACAGCUCCUCCAUCCCCUGGCAAUAGGAAGCCCAAGCAGGGCUGGGUCACUGUCUGUCGCUCCGGCCUCCUCCCGGCCCGCGUUCCCUGCCCAGUUGGGACUGCCCAGGGAGCCCCGAGAACGUUCCUGGCGGGAAGCGGGAGCCGCCGAGGGCUCCGUCCAACUCCGGGCCCGAAAAUCGGCCCCGACCUGAGCCCCCCCCGGCAUUUUGGGUUCCGAAGACUCACCUGGAGGAGACACCCCCCCGCAGGCGGGACCAGGCGGCGACACUCGACCGACGCCUUUGCCUCGGAGCGAGGGAUCCCUCCCGACUCGGCUGGCUCCUUUAUCCUUGGAAAUGAGCUCGGUUGUCGCACGAGCACCUUUGCAGCCAUUGGGCGAAUCCCGGACAGGGCCGGAAAACCUCCCUGAGCAGGGCAGCGAUGAAUUGGUGCCCGUCCCCAGCCGGGCACAGCCCAGCCGGCCGCGCUCCCUCCGGCCCGUGGCUGGGAAGGGGGGAUUUAAUGCUGCAGAGAUUUAAUAAAAGCGGAUUUCCUGACUGUA